RNAcentral lists this ribosomal RNA (254 nucleotides) under Escherichia coli. Its description in RNAcentral is "partial 23S ribosomal RNA". It matches the Rfam family "Bacterial large subunit ribosomal RNA", at positions 2071 to 2324 of the family's 2925-position model. The record is from RNAcentral. Lineage: Bacteria; Pseudomonadati; Pseudomonadota; Gammaproteobacteria; Enterobacterales; Enterobacteriaceae.
CGCGGCAAGACGGAAAGACCCCGUGAACCUUUACUAUAGCUUGACACUGAACAUUGAGCCUUGAUGUGUAGGAUAGGUGGGAGGCUUAGAAGUGUGGACGCCAGUCUGCAUGGAGCCGACCUUGAAAUACCACCCUUUAAUGUUUGAUGUUCUAACGUUGACCCGUAAUCCGGGUUGCGGACAGUGUCUGGUGGGUAGUUUGACUGGGGCGGUCUCCUCCUAAAGAGUAACGGAGGAGCACGAAGGUUGGCUAA